GGGGGUUGCCACGUUGGUGUGGUGUCUCCCGACUCGGAGCAGAGUCAUGAUUCGUAGUUACAACUUUUCUUUCGAAUUCCUAAUUUUAGCCCCAAAAAAAUUCUUCUGAACUAAAUAUAAUAUCUUAUCAUUUUUAAGAAAAAAUGUAAUUCCCGUACUAUAUAUAAUUUAAACUAAUCAAAAAAUUUAUCGAUCUUUUUAUCGAUUUUUUAUUAUUUUUUAAACCAAAAAAUAUAAUAUAAAGGUUGAACCAAUGGUCGGUGUUAUGAAACAUUUUUCUCCGUGUCUAGGACCCUAGGUCGAUCUCACAAACUAAAAAAAAAAUUGUUGUUGUUUUUUUUUUUGUUGAAUGAUUGUUGUUGUUUUUCAUCGGUAACAUUUCUAAUAACAAAAAUAUCUAUUUUAUUAAAACAGAAACUAGAUUUUGACCUGUG
This 434-nucleotide long non-coding RNA is filed under the name Brassica napus (rape). RNAcentral's name for it is "long non-coding RNA (BNAP_LNC014374)". The record is from RNAcentral. Lineage: Eukaryota; Viridiplantae; Streptophyta; Magnoliopsida; Brassicales; Brassicaceae.